GCGUAGUGCUGUAAUUGAUAGUAAAAAUCACAUCAAGGGUUUUUUCAGUCAGCAUUUUAAAAUCCGUUGUUUUGGAUGUGCAAAAGGACAUAACCUUCUGAGUUUGGGUUAGUGAUAACUUGGCAUCACAAGGGGUUUUCAAACUCAUGCUAGCUCGAUAGCUGGCUACCUAUCUCUGUACCUCCCUACCUACCAACAAACCUGCCUGCUCAAUCUCCAAUCAAUCUCUACGAGAAUAAACCUCACCAUCUAGCCACCCUCCUACCUGUCUGCCUACCUUCCUCUCUAUCUACUGACCUGCUUGAAUGAGUGAUAUCUACUGAUGAUAUCUAUUGAUGACAUCCACUAAUGAUAGCUAGCGAUGAUAUAUAUCGAUGAUAUCUGUGAUAUUGUUUAAUAGCAACGUAAUGAAUAAUAUGACCUCGUACUUUCGCUCCGUCUUGCCCCGGCCGCAUGUUCCAUGAAGUUUCUGCUAUAGAGUGUUGUGUCUGAGCUUUUUUCAAUCCUUUGAAGAAAUUAAAGAUGCCUUCAUCUCUGCGAUUUAGCGGUUCAUUUGCCCACCCCUAGAAGAGGGGGGAUGGGGGGUGGGGUUUAAUAAGAGGCAGGCUGCCCCU
This 614-nucleotide small RNA is filed under the name Histoplasma capsulatum. RNAcentral's name for it is "hypothetical RNA". The record is from RNAcentral. Lineage: Eukaryota; Fungi; Ascomycota; Eurotiomycetes; Onygenales; Ajellomycetaceae. RNAcentral also lists the same sequence under 1 other name.